This 28-nucleotide non-coding RNA is filed under the name Rattus norvegicus (Norway rat). The record is from RNAcentral. Lineage: Eukaryota; Metazoa; Chordata; Mammalia; Rodentia; Muridae.
UGGUGCAAACUAUUUUAAAAACUCCAGC